RNAcentral lists this long non-coding RNA (335 nucleotides) under Zostera marina. Its description in RNAcentral is "long non-coding RNA (ZMAR_LNC004866)". The record is from RNAcentral. Lineage: Eukaryota; Viridiplantae; Streptophyta; Magnoliopsida; Alismatales; Zosteraceae.
GACUGGAAAAAGACGGGCGUUCCCCCCUAUCAGCCUCCCGUGGAUGUGAGCGACAGUGAGGAGCAAGAUCUUGAGGCUGACUUCCCCGACUACGUGGACCCUCCCCUUGAGUAGUCGGCUCGUUGCGAAUGUUUUUUUUUCUUUUUUCGUAUGGGAAGAACAAUUAUCCCUGCAUUGUAAUAAUACUUAACUUUUUUCCUGCUUUUUUACUUGCUUAUUUUCUCUCGCUUUUUGCUCGGCCGUCGAUCCGUUUGCCUUGGCUCGGCCGUCGAUCGUUUUCCUCUUCCUUUCGCUUUCGUUUCCCUACUUAACUUUCGCUUUCGCCCUUCCUCUUC